AGUAUAAGCAUCUAUACCGUGAAACUGCGAAUGGCUCAUUAAAUCAGUUAUCGUUUAUUUGAUAGUACCUUACUACUUGGAUAACCGUGGUAAUUCUAGAGCUAAUACAUGCUAAAAACCUCGACUUCGGAAGGGGUGUAUUUAUUAGAUAAAAAACCAAUGCCCUUCGGGGCUCUCUGGUGAUUCAUAAUAACUUAACGAAUCGCAUGGCCUUGUGCCGGCGAUGGUUCAUUCAAAUUUCUGCCCUAUCAACUUUCGAUUGUAUGGUCUUGGCUUACAAUGGUUUCAACGGGUAACGGGGAAUUAGGGUUCUAUUCCGGAGAGGGAGCCUGAGAAACGGCUACCACAUCCAAGGAAGGCAGCAGGCGCGCAAAUUACCCAAUCCCGACACGGGGAGGUAGUGACAAUAAAUACUGAUACAGGGCUCUUUUGGGUCUUGUAAUUGGAAUGAGUACAAUUUAAAUCCCUUAACGAGGAACAAUUGGAGGGCAAGUCUGGUGCCAGCAGCCGCGGUAAUUCCAGCUCCAAUAGCGUAUAUUAAAGUUGUUGCAGUUAAAAAGCUCGUAGUUGAACCUUGGGCCUGGCUGGCCGGUCCGCCUCACCGCGUGCACUGGUCCGGCCGGGCCUUUCCUCCUGGGGAGCCGCAUGCCCUUCACUGGGUGUGCCGGGGAACCAGGACUUUUACUUUGAAAAAAUUAGAGUGUUCAAAGCAGGCCUAUGCUCGAAUACAUUAGCAUGGAAUAAUAGAAUAGGACGUGUGGUUCUAUUUUGUUGGUUUCUAGGACCGCCGUAAUGAUUAAUAGGGAUAG
RNAcentral lists this ribosomal RNA (809 nucleotides) under Oidiodendron sp. RNAcentral describes it as "SSU rRNA". It matches the Rfam family "Eukaryotic small subunit ribosomal RNA", at positions 62 to 881 of the family's 1831-position model. The record is from RNAcentral. Lineage: Eukaryota; Fungi; Ascomycota; Leotiomycetes; Myxotrichaceae.